Molecule: ribosomal RNA, 492 nt
Filed under: uncultured bacterium
Lineage: Bacteria
Description: partial 16S ribosomal RNA
Rfam family: Bacterial small subunit ribosomal RNA
Source: RNAcentral
AUUGAACGCUGGCGGCAUGCUUUACACGUGCAAGUCGAACGGUAACAGGCCUUCGGGUGCUGACGAGUGGCGAACGGGUGAGUAAUGCAUCGGAACGUGCCCAGAGGUGGGGGAUAACGCAGCGAAAGCUGUGCUAAUACCGCAUGUGAUCUGAGGAUGAAAGCGGGGGACCAAGCAGCAAUGUUUGGCCUCGCGCCUCUGGAGCGGCCGAUGUCAGAUUAGGUAGUUGGUGGGGUAAAGGCCUACCAAGCCGACGAUCUGUAGCUGGUCUGAGAGGACGACCAGCCACACUGGGACUGAGACACGGCCCAGACUCCUACGGGAGGCAGCAGUGGGGAAUUUUGGACAAUGGGCGCAAGCCUGAUCCAGCAAUGCCGCGUGCGGGAAGAAGGCCUUCGGGUUGUAAACCGCUUUUGUACGGAACGAAAAGGCUCUGGCUAAUACCUGGGGCUGAUGACGGUACCGUAAGAAUAAGCACCGGCUAACUACGUG